GGACUACCCGGGUAUCUAAUCCCGUUUGCUCCCCUGGCUUUCGCGCCUCAGCGUCAGUAAGGGUCCAGUGCGCCGCUUUCGCCGCCGGCGUUCCUUCUGAUAUCAACGCAUUUCACCGCUCCACCAGAAGUUCCGCGCACCCCUACCCCCCUCCAGCCCGCCGGUAUCGGAGGCCCUUCCGCCGUUGAGCAGCGGGAUUUCACCCCCGACCUCGCGAGCCGCCUACGCGCCCUUUAAGCCCAGUGAUUCCGAACAACGUUCGCACGGUUCGUCUUACCGCGGCUGCUGGCAC
Molecule: ribosomal RNA, 292 nt
Filed under: uncultured Planctomycetota bacterium
Lineage: Bacteria; Pseudomonadati; Planctomycetota
Description: uncultured planctomycete partial 16S ribosomal RNA
Source: RNAcentral